UACGGGGGGGGCAAGCGUUGUUCGGAAUUACUGGGCGAAAAGGGCUCGUAGGCGGCCAACUAAGUCAUACGUGAAAUCCCUCGGCUUAACCGGGGAACUGCGUCUGAUACUGGAUGGCUAGAGUUUGGGAGAGGGAUGCGGAAUUCCAGGUGUAGCGGUGAAAUGCGCAGAUAUCAGGAAGAACACCUAUGGCGAAGGCAGCACUCUGGGACGGUACUGACGCUGAGACGCGAAAGCGUGGGGAGCGAACAGG
This 253-nucleotide ribosomal RNA is filed under the name uncultured bacterium. Its description in RNAcentral is "partial 16S ribosomal RNA". It matches the Rfam family "Bacterial small subunit ribosomal RNA", at positions 524 to 776 of the family's 1533-position model. The record is from RNAcentral.